RNAcentral lists this ribosomal RNA (682 nucleotides) under Salmonella enterica subsp. enterica serovar Heidelberg. Its description in RNAcentral is "partial 23S ribosomal RNA". It matches the Rfam family "Bacterial large subunit ribosomal RNA", at positions 2261 to 2925 of the family's 2925-position model. The record is from RNAcentral. Lineage: Bacteria; Pseudomonadati; Pseudomonadota; Gammaproteobacteria; Enterobacterales; Enterobacteriaceae. RNAcentral also lists the same sequence under 18 other names.
GUGGGUAGUUUGACUGGGGCGGUCUCCUCCUAAAGAGUAACGGAGGAGCACGAAGGUUGGCUAAUCCUGGUCGGACAUCAGGAGGUUAGUGCAAUGGCAUAAGCCAGCUUGACUGCGAGCGUGACGGCGCGAGCAGGUGCGAAAGCAGGUCAUAGUGAUCCGGUGGUUCUGAAUGGAAGGGCCAUCGCUCAACGGAUAAAAGGUACUCCGGGGAUAACAGGCUGAUACCGCCCAAGAGUUCAUAUCGACGGCGGUGUUUGGCACCUCGAUGUCGGCUCAUCACAUCCUGGGGCUGAAGUAGGUCCCAAGGGUAUGGCUGUUCGCCAUUUAAAGUGGUACGCGAGCUGGGUUUAGAACGUCGUGAGACAGUUCGGUCCCUAUCUGCCGUGGGCGCUGGAGAACUGAGGGGGGCUGCUCCUAGUACGAGAGGACCGGAGUGGACGCAUCACUGGUGUUCGGGUUGUCAUGCCAAUGGCACUGCCCGGUAGCUAAAUGCGGAAGAGAUAAGUGCUGAAAGCAUCUAAGCACGAAACUUGCCCCGAGAUGAGUUCUCCCUGAGACUUAAAGUCUCCUGAAGGAACGUUGAAGACGACGACGUUGAUAGGCCGGGUGUGUAAGCGCAGCGAUGCGUUGAGCUAACCGGUACUAAUGAACCGUGAGGCUUAACCUUACAACGCCGAAG